RNAcentral lists this ribosomal RNA (367 nucleotides) under uncultured bacterium. RNAcentral's name for it is "bacterial SSU rRNA". It matches the Rfam family "Bacterial small subunit ribosomal RNA", at positions 527 to 896 of the family's 1533-position model. The record is from RNAcentral.
GGAGGAUCCGAGCGUUAUCCGGAUUUAUUGGGUUUAAAGGGUGCGCAGGCGGGAUGUUAAGUCGGCGGUGAAAUUUUGCAGCUCAACUGUAAAAGUGCCUUCGAUACUGGCUUUCUUGAGUGUGGAUGAAGUAGGCGGAAUUUGUGGUGUAGCGGUGAAAUGCUUAGAUAUCACGAGGAACUCCGAUUGCGCAGGCAGCUUACUAAACCACUACUGACGCUCAUGCACGAAGGCGUGGGGAUCAAACAGGAUUAGAUACCCUGGUAGUCCACGCAGUAAACGAUGAUUACUAGUUGUUUGCGAUACAAUGUAAGCGACUGAGCGAAAGCGUUAAGUAAUCCACCUGGGGAGUACGUUCGCAAGAAUG